This 160-nucleotide non-coding RNA is filed under the name Cucumis melo (muskmelon). RNAcentral's name for it is "Bacterial large subunit ribosomal RNA". It matches the Rfam family "Bacterial large subunit ribosomal RNA", at positions 2473 to 2632 of the family's 2925-position model. Lineage: Eukaryota; Viridiplantae; Streptophyta; Magnoliopsida; Cucurbitales; Cucurbitaceae. The record is from Rfam by way of RNAcentral. RNAcentral also lists the same sequence under 1 other name.
GAUAACAGGCUGAUGACUCCUAAGAGCUCUUAUUGAUGGAGUCAUUUGGCACAUUGAUGUCGACUCAUCACAUGUUAGGGUUGAAGAAGGUCCCAAGGGUUAAGUUGUUCGCCGAUGAAAGUGAUACAUGAGUUGGGUUUAGAACAUCGUGAGACAGUUC